GAUGAACGCUGGCGGCGUGCCUAAUACAUGCAAGUCGAGCGAAUAGACGAGGAGCUUGCUCCGCUGACGUUAGCGACGGACGGGUGAGUAACACGUGGAUAACCUACCUAUAAGACUGGAUUAACUGCGGGAAACCGGAGCUAAUACCGGAUAAUAUAUUGAACCUCAUUUUUCAAUAGUGAAAGAGGGUUUUGCGGUCACUUGCAGAUGUAUUCGCGCGGCUUUAGCUAGUUGGUAAGGUAACGGCUUACCAAGGCUACGAUGCGUACCCGACCUGGGAGGGUAAUCGGCCACACUGGAACUGAGAAACGGUCAAAACUCCUACGGGAGGCAGCAGUAGGGAAUCUUCCGCAAUGAGCGAAAGCCUGACGGGGCAACGCCGGGUGAGUAAUAAAGGUCUUCGGAUCGUAAAACUCUGUUAUUAGGGAAGAACAAAUGUGUAAGUAACUAUGCACGUCUUGACGGUACCUAAUCAGAAAGCCACGGCUAACUACGUG
RNAcentral lists this ribosomal RNA (497 nucleotides) under uncultured bacterium. RNAcentral describes it as "partial 16S ribosomal RNA". It matches the Rfam family "Bacterial small subunit ribosomal RNA", at positions 28 to 507 of the family's 1533-position model. The record is from RNAcentral.